This 626-nucleotide ribosomal RNA is filed under the name Triticum aestivum (bread wheat). RNAcentral describes it as "partial small subunit ribosomal RNA". The record is from RNAcentral. Lineage: Eukaryota; Viridiplantae; Streptophyta; Magnoliopsida; Poales; Poaceae.
AUGUCGUCUUCCUCUUCCUCCGGUGCCUCCCAGGAUGGCCCCAACGGCCAAGUCACGGAAAGGCUCUCCUGCAUCAACUACGUCCUCUGGCACGCGCAGAUCGUGCCGCAACUGAGGGGCGCGGGUGUCUUCGGCUAUGUCGACGACACGACACCGGAGCCGGCCAGGAUCCUCCACACCAAGGACAAAGAUGGGAAGGAAUCCACUGAGCCGAAUCCCCUCCACUCCAUCUGGGUGCGAGAGGACCAGCAGGUGCUCGGGUACCUGCUGAACAACCUCACCAAGGAGGUGCUCGUGCAGGUGACCGCGAUCACCACGACGUGCGAGCUCUGGGUGGCGCUGUCGGGGAUGUUCUCCUCGCAGUCGCUCAGUCGCGUAAACAACAUCAGAACCUCUCUGGUGAACGCCCAGAAGGGCAACAAGACCGUCACCACCUACUUUGCCGAGAUGCGCGGCUUCGCCGACGAGCUGGCCGCCGCCGGAAAACCUCUCCAGGAUGAUGAACUCAUCUCCUACAUCCUGCACGGCCUCGACAUGGACUACCAGCCACUCGUCUCCGCCCUCGACACCCGCAUCACCCCGGUAUCCCUCGAUGAGCUUUUUUCAAUGCUUAGCAACUUUGAUCA